Long non-coding RNA from Sapajus apella (tufted capuchin), 331 nucleotides. RefSeq lists it as uncharacterized. The record is from RefSeq and is a predicted model, not a curated record. The transcript is spliced from 3 exons. Lineage: Eukaryota; Metazoa; Chordata; Mammalia; Primates; Cebidae.
GCUUAGACUGUGGGGUUUUUCAGAUGUAGGAUUAUGUCAUCUGCAAAAAGGGAUAGUUUGACUUCCUCUCUUCGUAUAAGGAUGCACUUUAUUUCUUUAUAUUGUCUGCUUGCUCUGGCCAGGGCUAUCAAUGCUAUGUUGAAGAGGAGUGGCAGAAGAAGGCAUCCCUGUCUUGUACCUGUUUUCAUAGGGAAUGCCUCCAGCUUUUACCCAUUCAGCAUGAUGUUGGUUGUUGGUUUGUCAUAGGUGGCUUUUAUUAUUUUGAGGUAUGUUCCUUCAGUAUUUAGCUUACUGAGAGAUUUUAACAUAAAGGAAUGCUGAAUUUUGCAAA